AGCAUGUCCUUUGAAGAAGGUAUGGGACUAUAUAAAUAGGCAUGCAAUGCAGCUCCAUGUAUGCAUGGCAGUUCACAAGCCACGCCUAGUGCCUUACAGUUUAGCUAGAUGAUGAGAAUGUUAAUGACUAAGGUUGAGAGAUAGAUGGAGGAGAGGGGAGACCUUGCAUGGUGAUAAGGGCUGAUCAUCCUGGUAGCCAAGGAUGACUUGCCUGUGGCCUCCCUCGCUCGCUUGCAUUUUGGUGGAGCAGGCAGGCAACUGAUCUCAUAGGCAGUCUCCUUGGCUAGCCUGGACGGUUCUUAUCCUUCAUGCUAGGCCUUCACCACUUCGAUACCUUUUCUUUUUCAAAAUUAUCAAGAAGAACUGCGUGUCUAAUAUAUAUGGUUUUGUUUUUAACUCCCUCAGUCCCCAUGAUGUGGGUGCUCACUACAUUCAUGAAGACCUUGGAUCACAUCUAGCUUCUCAGUCUGAGAGGAAAAAUGCGAAAAAUGGAAGAGUUUGAGGCCUUUGAGGGUGUUUUUACUCUGUUUGCCAAUUGAUGAACUGACACUAUAGUUUGUUUUUUUUUGAAAGAAACAGCGAGGGAAACCCCCACUGUGGAACUGACACUAUAGUACUGCCAUUGCAUGAUAUUUUAUUGGUGUGCACAGCUAAGCUCGCUACAUAUAUAUCCAUCCUGCACUGAUUGAAGGAGAAAGCAGUCAUCGUCCAUUAUCUGGUGAUCAUACAUCAGGAGAGGCCAUAUGAUCAGUUGAUAGUUGUUUGCUCUAGUACUCUAUAUGCAAGCCAUUGCCACCCUUGUGAUUUCUACAGUAUUUCAGAAGUGCUAGCCUUGCGUAUAUCCUGCACUUAUCUGACCUCUAAACGAGUUCUAUAUAUUAGCAUGUAUGUAUAUGUAUCAUCAGUCAGGCUGUGCACAACAAGCUUACAUGCAUGUAUACGAUGUAUGAUUUCUGAAGUUCCAGUGACAACUCAAUGGAAGUUAGUUCCUUUCUGAAGUUUCUCAUGUUCUCAUGUGAUGCUAGCUUUUAUGUUCUCUCCUUGUUAACAUUGUGUGACACAAAAUACAGAAACACACUUGCAUCAGCCAGCAGAGUGGCACAAGAAAAUUAACAAGCUGGUUUCAGCUUAUAACUAACCAAUUAAAAGUUAGUUGUCAAUCCUUUUGGAACUAUUCUACACCAUACAACAUCUCUAAGAGUUUUUCACCAGGAAUAUAAAUAAAUAAAAAUGACUAAAAAUAAC
Molecule: long non-coding RNA, 1245 nt
Filed under: Setaria viridis
Lineage: Eukaryota; Viridiplantae; Streptophyta; Magnoliopsida; Poales; Poaceae
Description: long non-coding RNA (SVIR_LNC007501)
Source: RNAcentral